GUGAUUGUGUUUACAACAUGUGCAUUUGGGCUUAGGUAUUGGAUCAGACAGGUUAAAGUUGUUUUUUUGUUUUGGAUGUUUGAUCCUGAAAUUUUGACCAACACCAGACCAAUACAGAAACCAUUGCCGGCAAUGGAAAUGACUGUUCAUUUCUUAUGUACGUUCUAGUUCAUUAGGCAGAGCAUGUGUGGAACAAUUAGUGACAUCUCAUGGUGAUUUUUGUUUUUAAACCUAACCUUAAAUAACACGCUUUCAUUCAAACCACUACUUUUUUUUUCUUUUCUUCUCUUUGAUUAUUUAGUUUUUAACAAGGUUUCGAGACCUUUCACCUCAUGCAACCUGGCAAAGGACGAACAACUGCCCAAAUCAGAAUUUCAGGGUCUGUGACGGUUGGUCGUCUGUAAAGAGGGAAACACUGGAGUUUAGGAGACGCUGCCUGUGACCAUCCACUGCUCCUGGGACCAAGAGGGCAGAACGUUGAGUUGGUCCACAGAGGUCAGCUGGGAAAAGCUGUGGGAACAUCUGCUGCCUGACAUAGUAAGUUUCCUUUUUUAGCAGAAUCUACCACUGAAGGACACACACAGGCCUUUUGCCAACAGAGACCACGGGAACUAGCCUUCGUCUGAUGAAGGUCUUCCUCCCACCACCAGUCUUUUAAAACGACGGUGCUGUGUGCUGACAUUGAGAAGGAUUUCAAAAAUAGAACUUAAACCUCUCUCUUUCUCUCUCUCUCUCUCUCUCUCUCCAUGUGCAGAGUGUGAGUCACUGUCAGGUUUUCAUAGUAGAAACAGAAGUAGCCAGAAUACAUAUUUUUAUUAGACAGAGAAAAUACUGUUCAGAAGAAUUAGGGAAACACCAAAAAUAAUCUUCUGUCACACGAACUUCUGUUUUACGGGAAGGUCACGAGUACAACGAGGAGAAACGUUUCCAAGCCGGAACUGCAGUACCUGCUCGAGGAACCAGAACAUUUUAUGAACCAUACUUGUAUGACAGGUGCUUGUAGAGACAGGUGGCGCUGUAGUAAGGUGGUCCUUAUUUUGUUAGGCAACAGGAAAAUCAUCAAACAUGA
Long non-coding RNA from Cynoglossus semilaevis (tongue sole), 1069 nucleotides. RefSeq lists it as uncharacterized. The transcript is spliced from 2 exons. The record is from RefSeq and is a predicted model, not a curated record. Lineage: Eukaryota; Metazoa; Chordata; Actinopteri; Pleuronectiformes; Cynoglossidae.